UGCCACCACUGGACUGCACUCCCAAC
This 26-nucleotide non-coding RNA is filed under the name Rattus norvegicus (Norway rat). Lineage: Eukaryota; Metazoa; Chordata; Mammalia; Rodentia; Muridae. The record is from RNAcentral.